RNAcentral lists this ribosomal RNA (92 nucleotides) under Citrobacter freundii. RNAcentral describes it as "partial 16S ribosomal RNA". It matches the Rfam family "Bacterial small subunit ribosomal RNA", at positions 1442 to 1533 of the family's 1533-position model. The record is from RNAcentral. RNAcentral also lists the same sequence under 20 other names. Lineage: Bacteria; Pseudomonadati; Pseudomonadota; Gammaproteobacteria; Enterobacterales; Enterobacteriaceae.
UCGGGAGGGCGCUUACCACUUUGUGAUUCAUGACUGGGGUGAAGUCGUAACAAGGUAACCGUAGGGGAACCUGCGGUUGGAUCACCUCCUUA